UAUAUAAGAUACUGCUAUUACCUGAGAAAUACUUGGUGAAAUCUCAAGAAAAUUCCUCUACUCAAGUUCUGAUCCAG
RNAcentral lists this small nucleolar RNA (77 nucleotides) under Castor canadensis (American beaver). RNAcentral describes it as "Small nucleolar RNA SNORD20 (ENSCCNG00000030927.1)". It matches the Rfam family "Small nucleolar RNA SNORD20". Rfam says of the family: U20 is a C/D box small nucleolar RNA that is encoded in intron 11 of the nucleolin gene in human, mouse and rat. The record is from Rfam by way of RNAcentral. Lineage: Eukaryota; Metazoa; Chordata; Mammalia; Rodentia; Castoridae.